AGCAGCAACAUCACAUGGGAGCUCCUGUAGACCGAUACUGUGUCAUGGCUAAGAGGUUAGUAGCAGCAACAUCAGGCUGGGGGCUCCUGUAGACCGAUACUGUGUCAUGGCUAAGAGGUUAGUAGCAGCAACAUCCACUGGGAGCUCCUGUAGACCGAUACUGUGUCAUGGCUAAGAGGUUAGUAGGAGCAGCAGCAGCAACAUCAGGCUGGCAACAUCAAGCUGGGGCUCUGGUCGACAGAUACUGUGUCAUGGCUAAGAGGUUAGUAGCAGCAGGCUGGGGGCUCCGGAGGACAGAUACUGUGUCAUGGCUGAGAGGUUAGUAGCAGCAGGCUGGGGGCUCCGGAGGACAGAUACUGUGUCAUGGCUAAGAGGUUAGUAGCAGCAGGCUGGGGGCUCCGGAGGACAGAUACUGUGUCAAUGGCUGAGAGGUUAGUAGCAGCAGGCUGGGGGCUCCGGAGGACAGAUACUGUGUCAUGGCUAAGAGGUGAACAGACGAGUGUUUCACAUAGCAGCAGUUGUAGAUGC
Salvelinus sp. IW2-2015 is the source of this 528-nucleotide non-coding RNA. The record is from RefSeq and is a predicted model, not a curated record. NCBI's taxonomy places the organism in Eukaryota, Metazoa, Chordata, Actinopteri, Salmoniformes, Salmonidae.